Molecule: ribosomal RNA, 371 nt
Filed under: uncultured bacterium
Lineage: Bacteria
Description: bacterial SSU rRNA
Rfam family: Bacterial small subunit ribosomal RNA
Source: RNAcentral
AGAGGUGGCAAGCGUUGUUCGGAAUUACUGGGCGUAAAGGGCGCGUAGGCGGUUCGUUAAGUCCUGUGUGAAAUCCCCCGGGCUCAACCUGGGAACUGCAUCCGAAACUGCCUUGCUCGAGUAUGGGAGAGGGAAGUGGAAUUUCCGGUGUAGCGGUGAAAUGCGUAGAUAUCGGAAGGAACAUCAGUGGCGAAGGCGACUUCCUGGACCAAUACUGACGCUCAGGUGCGAAAGCGUGGGGAGCAAACAGGAUUAGAUACCCUGGUAGUCCACGCCCUAAACGAUGAGAACUGGAUGUCGGGAGGGUCUGCCUUCCGGUGUCGUAGCUAACGCGUUAAGUUCUCCGCCUGGGAAGUACGGCCGCAAGGUUG